RNAcentral lists this ribosomal RNA (1331 nucleotides) under Ocimum tenuiflorum. Its description in RNAcentral is "eukaryotic LSU rRNA". It matches the Rfam family "Eukaryotic large subunit ribosomal RNA", at positions 2048 to 3401 of the family's 3401-position model. Lineage: Eukaryota; Viridiplantae; Streptophyta; Magnoliopsida; Lamiales; Lamiaceae. The record is from RNAcentral.
CCGAGGGAUGGAGUGGGAACGACUCUCGCGGGGGCCUUUCCUGGGCAUCGAACGGUCAGCUCAAAACUGGACCAAACAAGGGAAAUUCAUUUGUUUAAUUAAAACAAAGAUUUUGCAAUGGUCCCCGCGGAUGCUAGCAUAAUUUGAUUUAUGCCCAGUGCUUUAAAUGUAAAGCUUUAAAUGUCAAAGUGAAGAAAUUCAACCAAGCGCAAAUAAAUGGCGAGAGUAACUAUGACUCUCUUAAGGUAGCAAAAUACCUCGUCCUCUAGUUAGUGAUGCGCAUGAAUGGAUUAACGAGAUUCCCAUUGUCCUUGUCUACUAUCCAGCAAAACCACAGCCAAUGGACCGGGCUUGGCCGUAUUAGCGGGGAAAGAAGACCCUGUUGAGCUUGACUCUAGUCCAACUUUGUAGAAUGACUUUAGAGGUUUAGGAUAAGUGGGAGCCGAAAGAUGAAAGUGAAAUACCACUACUUUCAAUGUUAUUUUACUUAUUUUGUGAAUUAGAAGCGGGGAUUGCCCCUCUUUUGGACCUAAGGCUUGACUCUAUGGGUCGAUCAAAGUGGAAGACAUCGUCAGGUAGGGAGUUUAGUUGGGGCGGCACAUCUGUUAAAAGAUAACGCAAGUGUCCUGAGAUGAGUUGAAGGAGAACAGAAAUCUCCUGUGGAACAGAAGGGUAAAAACUCGUUUGAUUCUGAUUUCCAGUACGAAUACAAACCCUGAAAGCGUAGCCUAACGAUCCUUUAGACCUUUGGAAUUUGAAGCUAGAGAUGUCAGAAAAGUUACCACAUGGAGAACUGGGUUGUGGCAGCCAAGCGUUCAUAGCGACAUUGCUUUUUGAUCCUUUGAUGUCGGCUCUUCCUAUGAUUGUGAAGCAGAAUUCACCAAGUGUUCGAUUGUUCACCCACCAAUAGGGAAGGUGAGCUGGGUUUAGAUUAUCAUGAUAUAUGUUAUUUUUACCCUACUGAUGACAGUGUCUCAAUAGUAAUUCAACCUAGUACGAGAGAAAUCGUUGAUUUACAUAAUUGGUCAUCACACUUGGUUGAAAAGUCAGUGGCGCGAAGCAACCAUGCAUUGGAUUAUGAUUGAACACCUCUAAGUUAGAAUUUCGGCUAGAAGUGAUGCAUGCGCCCGCCGUCCGCUUUCCGACCCAAUGUGGGGGCAGAGUGGCCUUGCUGCCACAAUCCGCUGAGAUUCAGCCCUUUAUCGCAUUGAUUUGUCCCUCCCCCUCAACUCCUUUCUCAUUGCUUCGUUAAGGUUUCCCGCUCCUUGGUUGAGGCUUGAGAAUAUUUUGACCCGCAACUAAAGGCCUGGUCUUCAUUUUUCUCUUCAAAU